UACGGGGGGGGCAAGCGUUGUUCGGAAUUACUGGGCGUAAAGGGCUCGUAGGCGGCCAACUAAGUCAGACGUGAAAUCCCUCGGCUUAACCGGGGAACUGCGUCUGAUACUGGAUGGCUAGAGGUUGGGAGAGGGAUGCGGAAUUCCAGGUGUAGCGGUGAAAUGCGUAGAUAUCUGGAGGAAUACCGGUGGCGAAGGCGGCAUCCUGGACCGACAUUGACGCUGAACGGCGAAAGCUAGGGGAGCAAACGGG
This 253-nucleotide ribosomal RNA is filed under the name uncultured bacterium. RNAcentral describes it as "partial 16S ribosomal RNA". It matches the Rfam family "Bacterial small subunit ribosomal RNA", at positions 524 to 776 of the family's 1533-position model. The record is from RNAcentral.